This 556-nucleotide ribosomal RNA is filed under the name uncultured bacterium. RNAcentral describes it as "bacterial SSU rRNA". It matches the Rfam family "Bacterial small subunit ribosomal RNA", at positions 102 to 694 of the family's 1533-position model. The record is from RNAcentral.
ACGGGUGCGUAACGCGUGGGAAUCUGCCCUUUGGUCUGGGAUAACUGUUGGAAACGACAGCUAAUACCGGAUGAUGACGUAAGUCCAAAGAUUUAUCGCCAGAGGAUGAGCCCGCGUCGGAUUAGCUAGUUGGUGGGGUAAAGGCCUACCAAGGCGACGAUCCGUAGCUGGUCUGAGAGGAUGAUCAGCCACACUGGGACUGAGACACGGCCCAGACUCCUACGGGAGGCAGCAGUGGGGAAUAUUGGACAAUGGGCGAAAGCCUGAUCAGCAAUGCCGCGUGAGUGAUGAAGGCCUUAGGGUUGUAAAGCUCUUUUACCCGGGAUGAUAAUGACAGUACCGGGAGAAUAAGCUCCGGCUAACUCCGUGCCAGCAGCCGCGGUAAUACGGAGGGAGCUAGCGUUGUUCGGAAUUACUGGGCGUAAAGCGCACGUAGGCGGCUUUGUAAGUUAGAGGUGAAAGCCUGGAGCUCAACUCCAGAGCUGCCUUUGAUACUGCAUGGCUUGAAUCCAGGAGAGGUGAGUGGAAUUCCGAGUGUAGAGGUGAAAUUCGUAGA